GACGAAUGCUGGCGGCGUGCUUAACACAUGCAAGUCGAACGGAAAGGCCCUGCUUGCAGGGUACUCGAGUGGCGAACGGGUGAGUAACACGUGGGUGAUCUGCCCUGCACUUCGGGAUAAGCCUGGGAAACUGGGUCUAAUACCGGAUAGGAGCCAUUUUUAGUGUGAUGGUUGGAAAGUUUUUUCGGUGUAGGAUGAGCUCGCGGCCUAUCAGCUUGUUGGUGGGGUAAUGGCCUACCAAGGCGGCGACGGGUAGCCGGCCUGAGAGGGUGGACGGCCACAUUGGGACUGAGAUACGGCCCAGACUCCUACGGGAGGCAGCAGUGGGGAAUAUUGCACAAUGGGCGCAAGCCUGAUGCAGCGACGCCGCGUGGGGGAUGACGGCCUUCGGGUUGGAAACUCCUUUCGCUAGGGACGAAGCUUUUUGUGACGGUACCUAGAUAAGAAGCACCGGCUAACUACGUG
RNAcentral lists this ribosomal RNA (465 nucleotides) under uncultured bacterium. Its description in RNAcentral is "partial 16S ribosomal RNA". It matches the Rfam family "Bacterial small subunit ribosomal RNA", at positions 28 to 507 of the family's 1533-position model. The record is from RNAcentral.